AGUGAACGCUGGCGGUAGGCCUAACACAUGCAAGUCGAACGGCAGCACAGUAAGAGCUUGCUCUUACGGGUGGCGAGUGGCGGACGGGUGAGGAAUACAUCGGAAUCUACUUUUUCGUGGGGGAUAACGUAGGGAAACUUACGCUAAUACCGCAUACGACCUACGGGUGAAAGCAGGGGAUCUUCGGACCUUGCGCGAUUGAAUGAGCCGAUGUCGGAUUAGCUAGUUGGCGGGGUAAAGGCCCACCAAGGCGACGAUCCGUAGCUGGUCUGAGAGGAUGAUCAGCCACACGGGAACUGAGACACGGUCCACACUCCUACGGGAGGCAGCAGCGGGGAAUAUUGGACAAUGGGCGCAAGCCUGAUCCAGCGAUACCGGGUGAGUGAAGAAGGCCUUCGGGUUGGAAAGCCCUUUUGUUGGGAAAGAAAAGCAGCAGGUUAAUACCCCGCUGUUCUGACGGUACCCAAAGAAUAAGCACCGGCUAACUUCGUG
This 492-nucleotide ribosomal RNA is filed under the name uncultured bacterium. RNAcentral's name for it is "partial 16S ribosomal RNA". It matches the Rfam family "Bacterial small subunit ribosomal RNA", at positions 29 to 507 of the family's 1533-position model. The record is from RNAcentral.